AGGAGAGAUUGCGCAUAUUAGGAAUUCUUCAUUGACAAAAUCAAAGGCAGUAAUUCAUAUAUGUUGUGCUAUUAUUAAAUCCAUUUUACAGAUGCAUAUCUGGUGACCCCUGAGACUUCCUCAAAGCCUUCCUUCUUGUACCAAUAAUGAGACUCUCCAAGAGUCCCAGACCACAAAUUAAGAAAUAAUGCCAAUAAUCUCAGAAGAGGCAGAAUAUUUCCUACAUCCCAAAGGUCUAAGGAUGAAAGAGCAUAUACAAAUGUUACAUAGGCUUCUCGUACUCAUGAAGUACCAUGGGGGAAGAGAAUGGGGUAUAAAGGCACCUCCCUGAAAAUCUCUUCUAGAGCUAGUCUGAGAUUAAUUGGAAGCAUACUGGGGCAGAGUUGGGGAUGGGAGGGUGGAGGGAAGUGUGAGAUGGUAGAAUAUCCCUAACUGCAGUCACUUGGGCAAGCUGCCACAGACCCCAGGGACGGUACACCAUUUAUAGCAUAAGCUUAAUACAUUGUAAAGAGAAGAAGCUUCAGUGGAUUUGUCAGUGGAGUGAACAGUACAUUCUCAUAGCCAGAUAAUGCAGAAAUAAAGUGCAUUUGUAACAGACAACAAAAGGAUUAUCCCCCAUUCAUUUCAAAGCACCCUUCAUUCCACUCAGGGAUUACAUUUUUCUUUACUUAUCUUGCAAAUUUUUUUCUUCUUCCUGAAGACUCAUGGUUUAUGGCAAAAACCAAACUGUGGCUGGUCCCUUUAAAUGUACUGAUUAUGGUGUUGGCAAGGGAACAAUAGACAUUCCCAAGGAUACUAGGGGUUCCCUGAUCAAUUGCUUGGAGACAGGGUAUCGAAGGGACUAACUCCACACUGCCAAAUGAUGUCCUCUCAUGGUCAAAGUGAAGGGCAGAAUUGGAGUGAGUUGGGGUUAGAAAUUAUAUCACAAAGAAGCAGGAUCUUCAGAACAAUGCAGAAUUAAGCAGGUCUCUUUGAACCUAACCUAAACAAAAAGGCCUCCUUAAGGUCAAGGUGUAGGACCCUCACAUAUCCCUGAAGCUUUCCAUUGAUGCCUAUCAAGAUGUUUCAAAGUAUCACUGAUGGUCACAGAUGAGAGUUCUGAAGGGGAAAAGCACCACAAGGCUGAGAAAUAGUCUGCAAUGCAUUGGGGAGAUGGAAAAAAGGGAGCAGAUGUCCUGGAAAAAUGCCACAGAUUGCAUUGGAUCCUGCCCACUGACUCAUUCUGUUGGCAGGAGAAGUCAAGUGAACUGAUUGCUGCAACUCUGCUCAAGCCCCCCAAUUAAAAGGUUGCUUGGGCAAGAUGGUGAUUCCAUUCACUCGAGUAUCCCCUUGCACUUACCUCAUGCAGCUAUAACUAGUUUUUGGAAUUUAUUGUUGUGUGCUUAUGUCUUAUUCAUAGAUAGAUGGCUUUCCUCUCCCUUCAUAGUUCUCCUCAAGGGAACCCAUUUCCUGUGCUCUGAUUAAUCAUAUUCUCUGCAUCCAGUGGGAGCUUUAGUAAGAAAAAAUUUACCAGUGAUUUUCAUUGUAUGUCAUUUCUGCCUUGUUCCUUUCUGUUUUUCAGAUUGCACUGAGACACAGAGAUCUAAGAAGAGGACAAAGAUGGGGGUGUUCAAGACUACUGAUGUUGUUGAGACUUUAGAAACUUUCAGGGAGAGUUGACAAGAUGUAAUCUUCACACUGAUGACAAAGAGAUGCCUUCUUUCUCCCAGGAGUUUCUUACAGAGGAACCAGACAGGCACUGGCCUGAAAAUUCUGCACCUUCAGCAAACACCCUUCUGAUCUCUUGGGAAGCUAAUAUUGCUAAAGAGUCAGAAGAAAGUAUAAGGAUGGCUCAUGGAUAGGAAUAAACUAGUUAGUAGGCAACAGUACUGUAGGAGGCCACCUGGGAUCUCUGUGGUCUAGCUGACAUAUUUCAGUGGUGCCAAAGUACUGGAUUCCUCAUCUUCUCAAGCAAAUGAACUGCAAGUACCAUUCACAGCACUUCAUUCAGGAAGGCAACAAUGACCAACAAUCCAUAGGGAGUGAAUACAGAGUAGAAAUGCUGGUCAAAGGUGGCUUAGUUGUUUCAUAAGGUAGCUUAGUAGCAAGUAAAGGACAUGCAUUUA
Long non-coding RNA from Antechinus flavipes (yellow-footed antechinus), 2105 nucleotides. RefSeq lists it as uncharacterized. The transcript has 2 exons. NCBI's taxonomy places the organism in Eukaryota, Metazoa, Chordata, Mammalia, Dasyuromorphia, Dasyuridae. The record is from RefSeq and is a predicted model, not a curated record.